This 75-nucleotide antisense RNA is filed under the name Micromonospora endolithica. Its description in RNAcentral is "ASpks TB sRNA". It matches the Rfam family "ASpks TB sRNA". Lineage: Bacteria; Bacillati; Actinomycetota; Actinomycetes; Micromonosporales; Micromonosporaceae. The record is from Rfam by way of RNAcentral.
CUUGACCGAGCCGAGCCGCAGCGGCCGGUUCGCGGUGCGGUCCUCGCCGUACACGGCGAUCAGGGCCUGCGCCUC